This 435-nucleotide ribosomal RNA is filed under the name uncultured Lachnospiraceae bacterium. RNAcentral describes it as "partial 16S ribosomal RNA". It matches the Rfam family "Bacterial small subunit ribosomal RNA", at positions 341 to 792 of the family's 1533-position model. The record is from RNAcentral. Lineage: Bacteria; Bacillati; Bacillota; Clostridia; Lachnospirales; Lachnospiraceae.
ACGGAAGGGCAGCAGUGGGGGAUAUUGCACAAUGGGGGAAACCCUGAUGCAGCGACGCCGCGUGAGUGAAGAAGUAUUUCGGUAUGUAAAGCUCUAUCAGCAGGAAAGAUAAUGACGGUACCUGACUAAGAAGCACCGGCUAAAUACGUGCCAGCAGCCGCGGUAAUACGUAUGGUGCAAGCGUUAUCCGGAUUUACUGGGUGUAAAGGGAGCGUAGACGGCAUGGCAAGCCAGAUGUGAAAGGCAGGGGCUCAACUCCUGGACUGCAUUUGGAACUGUCAAGCUAGAGUAUCGGAGAGGUAAGUGGAAUUCCUAGUGUAGCGGUGAAAUGCGUAGAUAUUAGGAGGAACACCAGUGGCGAAGGCGGCUUGCUGGACGAUAACUGACGUUGAGGCUCGAAAGCGUGGGGAGCAAACAGGAUUAGAUACCCUGGUA